RNAcentral lists this microRNA (21 nucleotides) under Mus musculus (house mouse). RNAcentral describes it as "microRNA miR-L-32". The record is from RNAcentral. Lineage: Eukaryota; Metazoa; Chordata; Mammalia; Rodentia; Muridae.
AGACCCACCAGGCGUUCGGCC